ACAACGAUAGUUUAAAAAAAAAAUUUAGGAUUGUGGCGCCUAGGAUGCUGUUUGGUUCGUUGUA
Molecule: transfer RNA, 64 nt
Filed under: Paranemertes cf. peregrina SCS-2010
Lineage: Eukaryota; Metazoa; Nemertea; Enopla; Monostilifera; Emplectonematidae
Description: tRNA-His
Source: RNAcentral